Molecule: long non-coding RNA, 565 nt
Filed under: Drosophila guanche
Lineage: Eukaryota; Metazoa; Arthropoda; Insecta; Diptera; Drosophilidae
Source: RNAcentral
GUUGGAUCUAUCACCACUUCGUCGAUGCAGCGUGAGAGUGUAUCCGCCACGACGUUGUCGACUCCUUUCCGGUGUUCGAUUCCAAAGUCAAACCUCUGCAGUCGCAAUGACCACCUCGCAAGACGUCCGUUUAGAUCCUUCAAUGACAUGAGCCAUUUCAGGCUGGCGUGAUCCGUAAUAACCGUGAAGGGCAUCAAUUCAACGUACGGUCUGAAUUUUUCAAUGGCCAACACCGCAGCUAAACACUCUUUUUCCGUUACUUGUUUAUGCUUGUUUAACUUGGCGGAGAAGAAUGCCACCGGACGCUCGGCUCCUUCGACGUCCAACUGAAACAACACCGCUCCCACUCCGUAAUUCGAUGCGUCGCACUGUACAUAGAAAGGCUUCUUGAAAUCAGCAUGACUUAAUACCGGAGCCGUGGUGAGUGCCUUCUUCAGGAAUCCUAUCGCCGUCUCGGCCUCCGUGGACAGGGAAAACUUUCCACGCUGAUGCUUCUUCAGCGCGUCUGUUAGCGGCACAGCAAUGGAAGCGUAAUCCUUGAUGAAGCGCCUAUACCAUCCUGCGG